Molecule: long non-coding RNA, 424 nt
Filed under: Malus domestica (apple)
Lineage: Eukaryota; Viridiplantae; Streptophyta; Magnoliopsida; Rosales; Rosaceae
Description: long non-coding RNA (MDOM_LNC001295)
Source: RNAcentral
AGGUCUCAAAUAUUCAAACUUCUUGUACUUUGAAACAAUUUAGGUCUCGUUUGAUGACCGUUUUGUUUUUGUGAUUAUUGCAAAUCAUGCUGGUGUUUGUAAACCAUGUGUCAGUGUCGGUCUCGUUUGAGUUUAAGAGCGACCGCUACUGAAGAGCUAAUCUCACCUAAUCCUUUACUGAUAAAAAGAAAAGUCAUGUUGUGUUUGGAGGUUGCUUUAGUUAAUUUGGUGUUCCAGGCAAAUCAUGUUGGUGUUUGUAAACCAUGUGUCAGUAUUGGUCUUCUCUCGUUCGAGUUUGAGAGCAACCGCUACCAAAGAGUUAACCUCACCUAAUCCUCUACUUGAUAAAAAGAAAAGUCAUGUUGUGUUUGGAGGUUGCUUUAAUUAAUUUGGUGUUCCAGGUAAUAAACCACGGCAUGUCGCC